RNAcentral lists this ribosomal RNA (376 nucleotides) under uncultured organism. RNAcentral describes it as "partial 16S ribosomal RNA". It matches the Rfam family "Bacterial small subunit ribosomal RNA", at positions 527 to 897 of the family's 1533-position model. The record is from RNAcentral.
GUAGGCGGCAAGCGUUGUCCGGGAAUUAUUGGGGCGUAAAGCGCGCGCAGGCGGUUCUUUAAGUCUGAUGUGAAAGCCCACGGGCUCAACCGUGGAGGGUCAUUGGAAACUGGAGAACUUGAGUACAGAAGAGGAAAGCGGAAUUCCACGUGUAGCGGUGAAAUGCGUAGAGAUGUGGAGGAACACCAGUGGCGAAGGCGGCUUUCUGGUCUGUAACUGACGCUGAGGCGCGAAAGCGUGGGGAGCAAACAGGAUUAGAUACCCUGGUAGUCCACGCCGUAAACGAUGAGUGCUAAGUGUUAGGGGGUUUCCGCCCCUUAGUGCUGCAGCUAACGCAUUAAGCACUCCGCCUGGGGAGUACGGCCGCAAAGGCUGA